Molecule: unclassified non-coding RNA, 556 nt
Filed under: Hevea brasiliensis (rubber tree)
Lineage: Eukaryota; Viridiplantae; Streptophyta; Magnoliopsida; Malpighiales; Euphorbiaceae
Source: RNAcentral
AGGGGAGAGAGACAGGAGAAAGUUAAAAACACGCAAAUGGAAAGAAAAAGAAAGCUGCAGCAGCUGCUUAUCACUCAGUAGAUUUAUCUUUCUCAUCUUCUCUCAUCCACACGGGCGCUAAGUCAGUUUGGAAAAACUAAAUUAAUAAAUAAAGCCGUUUCUCUUUCUCUCUCUAUCCGGCCCCUUCUUUCCUUUAUGGUUUCUCUCUGAAACGGAGUUUGGUAGAGGGGGCGGCCGACUCCCUCAACUCGGACCGAGUUAUGGGUUGUUGCCAAUCUUUCUUCUUUCGAGUAACUGCCUCCCAGGAAAAAGCCUACCUUCAUCAGGCGCAGAAUCACCACCCUUCUCACCCUGCCAACGGCAAGGACCCUGCCUCUGCUGCCUCCUCAGGUCUCCGUGGUUUCAUCGAGUUUUCUCUCGCUGACCUAAAAGCCGCCACCAAUAACUUUAGCCCUGAGUUCAUCGUUUCGGAAAGCGGUGAAAAGGCUCCCAAUGUCGUCUAUAAAGGCCGCCUGCAGAACCAGGAUAAUCGCACUUGGAUCGCUGUCAAGAAAUU